RNAcentral lists this ribosomal RNA (430 nucleotides) under uncultured bacterium. RNAcentral describes it as "bacterial SSU rRNA". It matches the Rfam family "Bacterial small subunit ribosomal RNA", at positions 354 to 796 of the family's 1533-position model. The record is from RNAcentral.
GUGGGGAAUAUUGCACAAUGGGCGCAAGCCUGAUGCAGCGACGCCGCGUGAGGGAUGACGGCCUUCGGGUUGUAAACCUCUUUCAGCAGGGAAGAAGCGCAAGUGACGGUACCUGCAGAAGAAGCGCCGGCUAACUACGUGCCAGCAGCCGCGGUAAUACGUAGGGCGCAAGCGUUGUCCGGAAUUAUUGGGCGUAAAGAGCUCGUAGGCGGUCUGUCGCGUCUGGUGUGAAAUCCCGAGGCUCAACCUCGGGCUUGCAUCGGGUACGGGCAGACUAGAGUGCGGUAGGGGAGACUGGAAUUCCUGGUGUAGCGGUGGAAUGCGCAGAUAUCAGGAGGAACACCGAUGGCGAAGGCAGGUCUCUGGGCCGCAACUGACGCUGAGGAGCGAAAGCAUGGGGAGCGAACAGGAUUAGAAACCCCUGUAGUCC